AUUGAACGCUGGCGGCAUGCCUUACACAUGCAAGUCGAACGGCAGCACGGGUGCUUGCACCUGGUGGCGAGUGGCGAACGGGUGAGUAAUACAUCUGAACAUGUCCUGUAGUGGGGGAUAGCCCGGCGAAAGCCGGAUUAAUACCGCAUACGAUCUCCGGAUGAAAGCGGGGGCCCUUCGGGCCUCGCGCUAUAGGGUUGGCCGAUGGCGGAUUAGCUAGUUGGCGGGGUAAAGGCCUACCAAGGCGACGAUCAGUAGCUGGUCUGAGAGGACGAGCAGCCACACUGGGACUGAGACACGGCCCAGACUCCUACGGGAGGCAGCAGUGGGGAAUUUUGGACAAUGGGCGAAAGCCUGAUCCAGCAAUGCCGCGUGUGUGAAGAAGGCCUUCGGGUUGUAAAGCACUUUUGUCCGGAAAGAAAUCCUUGGCCCUAAUACGGUCGGGGGAUGACGGUACCGGAAGAAUAAGCACCGGCUAACUACGUG
Molecule: ribosomal RNA, 486 nt
Filed under: uncultured bacterium
Lineage: Bacteria
Description: partial 16S ribosomal RNA
Rfam family: Bacterial small subunit ribosomal RNA
Source: RNAcentral